CAAGGGCUUUCACAUCCUUCUGGAAUGGUGGGGCCCAGCACAGCACACAGUGCUCCAAGUGAUGAUAUUUACCAGUUUACUAGAACUUUUUUAUGAAGACAAAAAGACAUGGUCUCUCUUUGCAGUAAGGGUGAAAGGACACAGGAUGUUCAAGUGCCUUCUCCAAACUUUUCUUAAUUUGUAGAGAGAGAAAACCUCUGACCAGAAAGGGCUGUGAAUGAUCUAUGUCUAGACAGUGGAUAGACUGUGACUUUAGAGGGGGAUGAAUUGGGCAGAAAUGUGCCUUUAACCAUGACUCACCUUACAGGCUAUUGCUUCCUAAGAGCAGAGCAACAGAGAAGAGAGGAUGAAAGCAAGACCCAGCAUGGCUUUCCCUGUCACAGGCUUAUAGAAUUUGAUUGUGGUCUGGGGAUGACACUGACAGUUCUUAAAAAAAGCCCAUUUCAUGUUCUUAAGACAAUUUCAGUUGGCAUUUUGCAACCAACAAUGUGACCUGCUCUGCUUCUUACUUUAUUGCUUAAUAUUUCCCACCAGAAAGAAAACUCUUCCUCUAAAGUUUCUUGUGCCCUAGUUCACAUCAGUUGUUUGAGAAAAUGAAUGCCACAACUGAAAGAACUGUUUUGUUUAGGGCUGGUUUUUUUUCUACCCAGUCAAAUCCUAUUCAGGUCUGGCUGAACUAUCUGAAGUAUUAAAUUGCCAGAAUUUUGUCUGAGAAGAAAGAAAAGGCAAUGUGCUAAAAUAGCUGCAUGUAUGAACUCAGCUGGGCUCACACUGCUCCUGCCAGGGACAGCUGCUGCUUCACUAAGAACUUCUGAGACUGCCGGAGGGCAGGAGAAGAAAGAACGGGGCUAAAGUCCAGCCCUGCACAGAUCCAUCACUACCACUGAACUUGUGGGGCUCCAAGGAAAGCAUUACAUCUGGCAUUCAGAUGGUCAAGGAAUAAAACCUCUCCUUUGAAACUUACAAAACACUUCUGAUUUAAUCAGUCACCAUGAGCAAGAAUGCCUGUAGUGCACGUGGGAAGAGCAAAAAUGAAGCACCACACUCACAGGCCUGAUCCUGAUAGGGGACUUCAUUAACCUGCACACCUCCUGGAAAAAACGGCACAGCAAACUACUAGCAGUCCAGGAAACUAUUGGAGCUCGUUGAAGACAAAUUUCCUCAUACAGGUGAUGGAGACCCUGACCAGAGAGGCCCUGCUGGACCUGUUGCUUACUAAUGUGGAAGAAUUUAUUGGUGAGAUCAUGACUGGAGGUAGCCUGGGCUGCAGUGAUCAUGUCCUGGUGGAAUUCUCAAUCUUCAGGGGUACAGGAUGGAAAAAAGUAGCCAGUACCCUAAACCUCAGAAACAUCUAAUUUGACUGUGUAGGGUCCUAAUGACUGAGAUCCCUAGGGAAACUUCCCUCAGAGGCAAACAAGCAAACAAGGGCUGGAAGAUACUUAAAGUCAGUUUUCUUAGGGUGUAAAUGCUCUCAAUCCCAAUGUGCAAGAAGCUGGGCAGGGGAGGCAGGAGGUCAGCUUGGCAAAUUCAAAACCCCUUAGCCAUACUAGAACACAAAACUAAAAUGCAUAGGCAGUACAGGCAGGGACACACAUCCUGGGUAGGUUAUAGGGGUAUGGCUUGAAAAAGCAGAGAAGGGAUCAGGAAAGCCAAGAAACAACUGGAGCUGAACUCAGAUAUGGAUGUGAGAAAUAACCUUCAGGUACAUAGGACAGCAAAGGAAGAUGAAAGAAACUGUACCUCCCCUCAUGUGCAAAAUGAGAGACCUGGCUAUAGCCGACAUGGAGAAGGCUGAAGAACUCAACAAAUUUUUUGACUCAGUCUUCCCCAGCAAGUGCUCUAGCCACACUGCAGCACACAGCCAAAUUCACAGAAUCCAAUGACAAGGACUUGAAGAAUGCAAGAAUCAUAUGAGAAGAUCAGGUUCAAGAUCAUCUAAGGAACCCGAACGUGCACAGAUCCAUGGGACCUGAGGAGAUACAUCUGCACCUCCUGAGGGAACUGACAAAGUUACCAAGACAUUCUCCAUCAUAUUGGAAAGGGAAAUAUACCCCCCCAUUUUUAAAAAGGCCAGUCAGUCUCACAUCUGUGCCCUACAAGAUCAUGGAGCAUAUCCUUUUGGAAACUAUGUUAAAGCAUGUGGAGAACAGAGAGGUGACUGGUGACAGCCAACAUGACUUCACUAUAAGCAAAAUUGUGCCUGACAAAUGUGCUGACCUUCUAUAAUGGAGUUACAGCGUUGGCAGAUAAAGGAAAAGCAACUGACAUCAUCUUCCUUGUGCAGAGCUUCUGAUACUGUCCCACAUAGCACCCUUAUCUCUAAAUUGGAGAGGCUUGGAUUUGACAGGUGUGAAUAGGGAAUAAGUGAAUAAGGAAUUGGCUGGUUGGUCACACUGAAAGAGUUUCUGUCAAUGGCCCUAUGUCCAGGUAGAGACCAGUGAUGAGUAGGUCCAUCAGGGGCUGGUACUGCGAUCACUACUAUUUACAUCUUGGUUGGCAACAUGGAUAGUGGUAUUGAGUGUACCCUGAGCAAGUUUGCUGAUGACACCAAGCUAUGUACUUGUAAUUUUUUUAUGCUGAAUCAGGAGCAUAACUUAUUAGUGACUAAAUAAAUGUCAAGAUUUUUUCUUGUGAUUUCUAGAGAUUUUAUUUCAGAAAUGAAGAGAGAAAGAGUGAGAUAUUUAUAAAACCCCCAACUUUCACUUUUAGCUUCAUUAAAGUAAUUAUCAGUGGUCUGUAACUUUGCUUGGGAUUAUUUUUUUUGUAUCUUACAUGUCCUGGCUAAUGCUAACUGUGUAAUGCAAUAGUGAUGCUGAGAUGCUUCCAGUGUGCAGCUGUUUAUAUGAUUAGAAAAAACCUCAGUUGCCUAAAGCUGAUUAAAAAAGAAGUUUACAUCCUGAGUUCCAAUUAACAGUAUUGCCAGAAAAUUAAAAGCCAUCUGGUCUGCAAGGCCUGACUGGAAUUCUUACAUUUGAAUUGCCUUAUCAUGCUGCACAAAUUAAUUUUUCAUUUCUUUCAAUUCCUUCCUGGAGAAAAUUAAAAUAAUAAGAAAAAAGAAAGCUUGCCAUCUAUUUCAGAAGCCUUGUUUCAGCAGACACUGAAACAGCUUACCCUGAAUUACAAAAGUGUCAUUCUGUUUUCUUAAAGAAUAUAGUUACUUUCAUGCCUAUGCAGAAAUGAGACAGAUCUCCAUGUCUGUGUUAGUAGCAAACAUAUACUUAGAACACAUAUUUCCAGCAAAAGUAACAAAUGAAAAGAUAUUAAAGUUUUAGGAUUU
Molecule: RNA transcript, 3277 nt
Organism: Pezoporus occidentalis (night parrot)
Lineage: Eukaryota; Metazoa; Chordata; Aves; Psittaciformes; Psittacidae
Gene name: cAMP-specific 3',5'-cyclic phosphodiesterase 4D-like
Exons: 3
Source: RefSeq, a predicted model, not a curated record